Small nuclear RNA from Arvicola amphibius (Eurasian water vole), 105 nucleotides. Lineage: Eukaryota; Metazoa; Chordata; Mammalia; Rodentia; Cricetidae. The record is from RefSeq and is a predicted model, not a curated record.
GUUCGCUUCGGCAGCACAUAUACUAAAACUGGAACGAAACAGACAAGAUUAGCAUGGCCCUGGCGCAAGGAUGACACGCAAAUUCAUGAAAAUAAAAAAAUAAGU